AGACAGACUGAGGAAGCUGGGCUUGUUCAGCCUGAAGAAGAGACUGCUACGAGGAGACCUCAUUGCAGCCUUUCAGUCUAAAAGGAGCCUACGAACAGAAGCGGACCCAACUCUACUGGGAUAGGUAAUGGCAGGACUGGGAGAAAUGGUUUCAAAUUGAGGAAGAUUUAGGUUGGUUCUUAACCAAGAGAGUGGAGAGGAACUGGAACAGACUGCCCAGAGAGGUUGUGGAUGCCCCGUCCCUGAACGUGGGACAGGGCUCUGGGCAGCCUGGUCUAGUAUUAGAUACGAAGGUUGGUGGUCCUGCAUGUUGCAGGGGGGUUGGAGCUUGAUGACCCUUGAGGUCCCUUCCAGCUCAAGCCAUGCUAGGAUUCUACAAUUCUUAGGAGAUUACUGCUAUAGCACCAUGAUAUGGCGCCCUUAAAAUUUCACUAGCAAUUGAAUUUAACUCUUUCUAGAAGGAGCUUCUAUCUAAAACUUAGAAGUUCAAGCCUUAGAUUUAUACCACAUGUAUUGAGAAACUUGUUAAGUGUCCAACCACUUUUGCUUCCUCCCACACCAACACAUGCCCCUUCAUCUUCCUUUUCCCCACCAGUAACUAGGAUUAAGCUAUGCAGGUGUGAUUUCACAUCUGCUGCAAGAUAGUGCUGACAUUAUACCAGUAGGCCACUGAUUUCAAAAACUGACACAAUAAAGGAAAACCUUCACAAGUAAAAUACAGCAGAUUGCUUUACAGAAGCAGAAAUCGCACGGAGAGCCUCGCCGCAGCGGUGCGGGUCCCGCGACGGGGAGCGAUCCGCCACCAGGACGGCUGCUAGAGCCGGGGGAGGCGGAGACCGUACCGCCCUCCCACGCUUCGGCCGCGUAGCGCGCACGGGCGAUGCGCGUCCCGUGGCAGCUAUGGCCGGCUUCCACGAGCACCUGAGCCCCGUCGGCGGCAAGAAAUGCAGCCCUGAAGAAAAUGUUUCUUUCUUCAAUAAAUUAACGUAUUCCUGGUUUAGCAGACUAGUAUCUAUAGGCUAUAAAAAGCCUCUGGAAAGAGAUGACCUGUUUGAACUGAAUGAAAGUGAUUCACCGUACAGUGUGGGUCCUAACUUUGAAAAGCAAUGGAGAAAAGAAAUCCAGAAGUCUUCUGCAGGAUUGACGGAUUCUUAUAUUGAAAGAAUGCUGUUUAAGUCAAGAAGUUUCUAUAAACCAUCUUUGAUUUUUCCACUGUGGCAAACAUUUAAGUUUUUGUUGCUCAAAGUUGCAUUUUUAAAAGCUGCAGCUGACAUCCUGGCUUUCAUGAGUCCACAAAUAAUGAAAUCAAUGAUAACUGUAAGUGAAAAUCACACGAGUUCACAUGGGAGUGGAUAUGGCUAUGCUGUUGCCCUGUUUUUUGUAGUUCUCUCACAAACUCUCCUGCAUCAGUUAUACCAGCGUAACAACAUGCUUACUGCUGUGAAAGUCAAGACUGCAGUUGUUGGCCUGAUAUACAAGAAGGCCUUAACUUUAGCCAGUUCCUCACGACAAAGGUAUACAACUGGAGAGAUGGUUAACCUGAUAUCAGCAGAUGCUCAGCAACUCAUGGAGCUAAUUGUAAACAUCAACCUGUUGUGGUCAGCACCUUUUCAGAUCAUCAUGGCUGUCAUCUUCCUCUGGAAAGAACUUGGCCCCUCAGUACUAGCCGGUGUGGCAGUGCUUCUUUUGGUCAUACCUCUAAAUGCACUUAUUGCAGCCAAAGUAAAAACUCUGCAGAAAAGCCAGAUGAAAUAUUCAGAUCAACGCGUCAAGUUACUGAGUGAAAUGUUACAUGGAAUAAAGAUCCUCAAACUUUAUGCAUGGGAACCUUCAUAUCAAAGGAAGGUCAUGGAUAUCAGAGAACGUGAAGUGGAUGUUCUGAAGUCAUCAGGAUAUCUGAAGACUUACUCCGUGUUAACCUUGACCUGUAUUCCCUUUAUGGUUUCAUUGUCUACAUUUGGGGCCUACUUUUAUCUGGAUAAGGAACAUGUUUUAACAGCUGCUAAAGUUUUUACAUCUAUUUCUUUGUUUAACAUUUUGCGACUACCCUUGUUUGAUUUACCAUCUGUGAUCUCUGCUGUUGCCCAGACCAAGGUUUCUCUGAGCCGUUUAGAGGAUUUUCUGUUUGCUGAGGAUCUUAACCCUGAAGAUGUUGAUACAAACUACAGUGGAAACCAUGCUGUUGAGCUUACUGCUGCUUCUUUCUGCUGGGAGAAAAAUGGCCUGCCAGUCUUAAAAAACUUGAGUGUCAGCAUACCUGCAGGCUCUUUAGUUGCUGUUGUGGGACAGGUUGGAUCCGGAAAAUCAUCUUUUCUUUCUGCUCUUCUUGGAGAAAUGGAGAAACUUGAAGGAACAGUUCAUAGAAGAGGUUCAGUGGCUUAUGUUGCUCAGCAAGCUUGGAUUCAAAAUGGCAGUUUACAGGAAAACAUUCUCUUUGGCACAGAUCUAAAUAGGUCAUACUAUGAGCUUGUUUUAGAGUCUUGUGCUUUGCUGCCAGAUUUGGAACAAUUACCCAAUGGAGAUCAAACAGAGAUUGGAGAAAGGGGUGUCAACAUAAGUGGAGGGCAGAAACAGAGAGUGAGUCUUGCUAGGGCUGUGUACAGCAAUGCUGACUUGUAUCUUCUGGAUGACCCUCUAUCUGCUGUAGAUGUACAUGUUGGAAAACACCUUUUUGAGAAGCUCAUUGGGCCUUCAGGUCUCUUAAAAAGCAAGACUCGUGUUUUGGUGACACAUAACUUAACACUCCUGCCUCAUGCUGAUCUUAUAAUAGUAAUGGAAGAGGGGAAAAUAAGUGAAAUGGGCAGCUACCAACAACUCAUUUCAAAGAGAGCUAAAUUUGUUGAGCUUAUUGAAGUCUUCAAUGUAGAGAACAGAAGUGAAAAGACAACCCCAAAUGAAGUGAGUUCUUCAAAUGAAGAGUGCCAACUAGGGAGGAGUCUGCAGCAAAGAGAGUUGUUGAAACCCAGGCAUUCUUCAGGUCAGUGGAAAAUACUCAGAAAUAAUAAAGAAAAAGUUGCCACUGGUGGUAUGAAAAUGUCAGUUGUUUUAAAAUACCUUCAAGCCUUUGGCUGGCGAUGGAUGUGGCUGACCGUGGCUGCUUAUUUAGGACAAAAUGCACUAGCCAUUGGGCAAAAUCUGUGGCUUAGCACCUGGACUGCAGAGACAGCAAAAAUGAGUGAUUUCACAGAAUGGCAACAGUCACGAAAUUACAAACUUGGUAUUUAUGGGCUUUUGGGAUUCUUACAAGGUCUGCUUGUUUGCUGCGGUGCCUACGUGCUCACCCAGGGCUCCCUUGCUGCUUCUAGGACAUUACAUCAUCAGCUGUUGGACAGUGUAUUGCACCUUCCUCUUCAGCAUUUUGAAACUAACCCAGUAGGUCAGAUCCUCAAUAGGUUCACGAAGGACUUAUUUAUAGUGGACAUACGUUUUCAUUACUACUUACGAAGUUGGCUGAACUGUACACUAGAUGUUAUUGGAACCAUUCUAGUUAUCACGUUUUCCUCACCACUGUUCAUAGUGGUAGUUAUUCCCCUGGGAUACUUGUAUUUUAUUAUCCAGCGAUACUACAUAGCAAGCUCACGACAGAUUCGACGGCUAGCAGGAGCAUCACAUUCUCCUGUCAUCUCCCACUUCACGGAGACUAUCCUAGGAGGGUCAACAAUCCGAGCAUUUGGCCACCAGGAGAGAUUCAUUAGAAAAAAUAAUGAUGUUGUAUAUGAGAACUUAGUUUAUUUCUACAACAAUGUCAUCUCAAACAGGUGGCUAUCUGUCAGGCUUGAAUUUCUAGGGAAUUUAAUGGUGUUCUUUGCUGCACUGUUUGUAGUACUGGCUGGAAACACAGUGAGUUCUUCUACAGUGGGUUUAUCAAUAUCAUACGCUCUAAAUAUAAUUCAGAGUCUAAAUUUUUGGGUGCGUAAAGCAUGUGAAAUCGAGACCAAUGCGGUUUCAAUUGAAAGAGUUUGUGAAUAUGCAAACAUGGAUAAAGAGGAACCAUGGAUUACAUCAAAAAGACCACCAGUAGGGUGGCCUGAUAGAGGAAUAAUAGAGUUUGUUAACUACAAAGCUCAGUACAGGAAAGAUCUUGGUUUGGCCCUGAAUAACAUCUCCUUUCAGACACGGAAUAAAGAGAAGGUUGGAAUUGUAGGGAGAACAGGAGCUGGUAAAUCAACACUCACAAAUUGCUUAUUUAGAGUUCUGGAGGGAUCUGGAGGCAAAAUAGUUAUAGACGGAGUUGAUAUAUCAACUAUUGGACUCCACGACCUGCGUGGAAAUCUUAACAUUAUUCCACAGGAUCCCGUCUUGUUUUCUGGGACACUGCAGUCAAACUUGGAUCCACUUGGAAAACAUUCUGAUCAUGAACUGUGGGAGGCACUGGAACUGUGUGACUUGAAGAGUUUUGUCCAGUCACUUCCAAAAAAGCUCCUUCAUGAGAUUUCAGAAGGUGGUGAAAAUCUCAGCAUUGGCCAGAGACAACUGGUCUGUCUGGCCCGUGUUUUGCUACGAAAGAAAAAAGUCCUAGUUCUUGAUGAAGCAACAGCUUCUGUUGACAUGGAAACUGAUAACUUGGUGCAGUCCACCAUCAAAAGAGAGUUUUACAACUGCACAAUAUUAACAAUAGCCCACAGAUUACAUACAGUCAUGGAUUCAGAAAGAGUGCUUGUUCUGGAUGCAGGAAGGAUUCUAGAGUAUGAUACACCACAUAAUUUGUUACAACGAAAAGGUGCCUUCUCUAAAAUGGUUGCAGAGGCGGGUAUAAAAAGAUAAAGAAAACUAAUGAAUAAAUUCUUAUGAAGAUGAGAAUUCCUUGAACUGAUACACUCUCCGAAGAUAUGCAGCAUUCCUGAUGUUACGAACUUCCUUGAAAGUUCCUGACAACACUGCUGUUUACUAUGACUACAGUCCAUACAUAAUGAUCAGGUUUCUUAAAUCAACUUCCUGUUUUUAUACAAAUCACUGAUUUUUAUUAUAUUGGUACUGGACCAACACAAUGAAGGAAUGAUUUUCAUGAUAUAUUUUAAAUUUUUUAAUAUUGCACUAGUGAAGAUGGAUGCCCAGGACCCCAUCCAGCCUGGCCUUGAACACCUCCAGGGAUGAGGCAUCCACAGCCUGUGGAUCCACUUCCCCCUGAUAUCCAACCUAAAUCUUCCCUCCUUCAACUUGAAACCAUUUCCCCUUGUCCUGCAGUUAUCUACCCUUUCGAAGAGUUGACUCUCUUCCUGUUCUAUAGUCUCCCUAUAGGCACUAAAAGGCUGCAAUGAGGUCACUCUGUAGUUCUUUUCUCCAGGCUGAUCAAGCCCAGCUCCCUCAGCCUGUCUUUGUAGGGGAGAUGCUCCCAGUACCUGAUCACCUUUGUGGCCCUCCUCUGGACCCUCUCCAACAGUUCUCACCUUUUCUUGUAUUGUUUUUACAAAAUCACAUUGUGAAAGAAUACUACAAAAUAGGUACAGCUAUUUGCUAGUAGAUUUUAACGCGAAACUCUACUAUUUAGAGCUACUCAAAAGAAUAUGUGUAUUAUUGAAAGUUUCAGUUAAACAUUCCUGUGCUGCUUAAGCCAUCUAAAUAUUGCCAUUUUUACUACACAUCCUUAAACUCUUCAAUACUAGCUGUGGUUGGAAUGUGUUAAAAGGUUGGCGAGGAGGAUAAGAACUGAAGACUAGUGAGAAGCACUGUAAACAUGCUCAAGUGACCUUGCAGCAUGGAGGGAAACAUAAAUUGUACCUGUUGUUUAUUCUGUAUAUUUGACAAGUAGAACAUCUGUAUAUAGAUCACACAGGUGUGUGGUAGACUGGGAAGCACCUGUUGAAUAACUUGAGCCCCCUGCCUUUACAGAGAAGAUCAGACCACAAUGAAGGUCAUGGCAUAGUGGUAAACAACAUCUGCAGAAACCCUUGAUCAGCAGGUGAAAACAACAGGUUCCAAUAGCAUGGACUGAGCAGUGAGUCUGUGGUUGUUUCUGCUGCCUGUGUGGACUUGACAUAUUGGGUGUAGUUGAUAGGAUCACGGAACUGCCAGAGGUGACUUUCCACAUUUUGGAAUGGCCCAGCACUGAGCACUGGUGCUGUGUGGCUACUUUCCUGGCUACCACAACUCUGAUGGAACCAUGGCCUGAAACAGAUGUCAAGGUAGUGGUUACCCCCAGAUGAUUGAGACAGCUGUGUAUGGAUUACCAUGAAGAUUAGGAUGGUUGUUUGUUGCCAGUCUUAGAGCUCAUGACUGUGAAGUUGUUGCAUUGUGGAGUAAAAUGAGAGCGUGCGAAAGGGUAGUCAAGACGUUAUAAGAUGUGAUGGCCAUCAUACAAGAACUAAUUACUACUGAAGCAGAGCACUGCUGUGGACUGCAAGGCAUUGCAGAAGACACAGGUAUAGAAAAUGGUUUUGAGUUCCAUGGAACCUUCAUGGGAUCCCAAAGAACAGUAUAGAAGUUUCUGAGUGAGUCCUUGGAUUCUGAGAUUGAGUCUGAGUCAGAAUUAGAUCAGGGUGUGGUAGUAGCACAGCAGAUGCUUUGGCAGCAAAUGUCAAAACAGCAGAAAUUAAAGUUUGGCAGGUCCCCUGCACUACUGUUACUGUAGCCUCUUACCAUGAGGGAAAGCAAUGAUCCCAUGUUCUUUGAGCUAUCAGGUGGUGAUCUGGAGGAAUUUUAAAAGCAUUAGCUCUAGUAGACACUGGAGACGAAAAUUCUGUAUCAUGUAGCAGUGUUAAUGAUAAAGAAACCACACACAGAUCCAUGAUCUGGAAGCAAAUCCAAUCCCUGCCCUAUAAAAUGAGAUUGCCUUAACAAUAGUAAAUACUAUUCUAUUUACCACAACAGUGUUAAUUGCCCCAAUUAUCUUUGGGGUAUCAGUGCAUUGGCAGGAUGGACAGUUGAAACAUUAAACAAUUACUUCUGCUUUGGGUCUUUGCAAGUGGGAUAUAUUAUAUAUUAUUUGAUCUGUAUAUAUUUUGCAUGGGUUCCCAAAGGAUCCUACUGUGCUGCCCAUGCCUGCCAAGGUGGUGACCGUAAAACAAUAUUACAUCUUGGGGAGAAGAGGAAGUUACUCAAACCAUCCAGACACUUCAACAAGUGGGAAGAAGCCACAACUUGUUGUAAUAAUCCUAUUUGACUUGUUCAGAAAUCGGACAGUACUUAGGGAAUGGCUGUAGAUUAUAGAGAAUCAAAUAGUCACCCAACACUUGCAGUUAUGGUAUUAGACAUAGUUACUCUUGUAGAAAAAAUUAACAAAAAUGUACAAUGCUGAAAGGUGAUAACAGAUCUUGCUAAUGCUUUCUUUUGAACAGUGAUUGGUUUAGAAAGCUAAGGCCAGUUUGCCAUUAUCAGGCAAGAAAAGCAAUAUACUUUUCAAGAACUAUCUUAGGGACAUAAAAAGUCUCUCCAUUUGCCACCAAAUGAAAGUGGCUAAUGUUCAGUUGUUUACCUUUCUAUUGAUUAUCUGUUGAUUACAGUGGAGUCGCAACAAGAAAUUUAAGUAGCUGCACUUACAGGACUGAGGCUGGGCAAUUAAUCCAAACAAAAUACAGGAAGCUAUUCUUUAUUUUAUUUCAGGUAUCUAUCUUUGAUGAAUACAUGUCUUACCUAGGAGCCGUAGUACUGGAAUAAUAGUAUUGGUGUCAUGAACCACCACCAACUUGAAGUUCAUUGUGAAAAAGCACAGGCUGUAGCACUUCAGUUUGUGUGAAUCUCAAAGUUACCAAACCCAGAAUAAUAUCAGUGGAAGGAGUUGGUAUAACAGACUAUGUAUUACUGAAAGGAGAUGACAUUCCUAUUUUCCUCCUGUGUUACAGGCUGGCUCAUCAUGCUUCGUAAUCUUGUACUACAAGCAUAUACCCUAGGUAUAUUUCUGCAAGAUCAAUAUGUAAAUACUCAAGUUUGGUUAGCCUCUAUUCUUAUUCUUUCAGGUAGCAAAUACAGAACAUCUGACACAGGCUCCCAUGAAAUAUUUACACUGGACAUUAAAAGUAAUUGCUGCCUUAAAUUUGGAAAUAAUGGCUGUAUGCCAAAGAACCUUACAACAUCGAUUUGCAGUGGUCUGCCACCCACUUCAACAACAUAAAAUGCUGUUCUGAGUUUGGAGGCAUGCAUGGGUCCAACAUUACUGAUGGAGUAGCUAGCAUGGAGGAUGACUUUCAGCAUCUCUAGGACUUAAUACCUCAAGUGAAACAAUCUACCAGUGGUGCCUGGUGAGCCGAGCAGUUCAAUGCCUUCAAUGAGACAUUUAAUUCAAAACAAUCUUGUAGGGAUAUACUUAUUCCUUUUCCUACAUGUUACUCACCUCUGUAAAUUACCCUCUCCCACACUGCCACCCCUAGCAGUAGUGGUCUCUCAAACAAAGGGGGUCAAAUGGAGGAAGAAAUGGAUUAAAAGUAGAAGACUGACCAGGAGGAUUGUAAACACGCUCCAGCUGGCAAUGCACAGUUUGGAUAGUAGUCAUAAAGGAAAAUACAUAAAUGAUAUUUAUUCUUUGAGUGUUUGACAAGUAGAACAUCUAUGUAUAGGUAACAUAUUAAACAUGGUUCAGAUCCCUGCUUUACUAAGGAGAAGAUCAAAACACAGAACUAAACUACACCUCAACAAGUAUAAACAGUAGGCUUGUAAUUCUUCAGCACGGACCAAGCAUGGACACGGUGCCUGUGCCUCUACCUGUGUACUUUGGUCUGAGUGCCUGCUGUAGGGAUCCCCAGGCUGGCAAUGAAAAUACACAUACUCUACCUUUUAGCUGUGGGGCUGUGGUGGUUCCUGCUGCCUGCACUGCUAGCUCACACAUCAAUGCAAGCAAAGUUUGCAGUUUUAGGAAGAGGGUGAGAAACAACAUCUCUUCCCCUCUUCUUGUCCCCCACCUGAGGGCAGCAGUGGCUUCCCUGUAGAGCAGAAACUACCAUACCAACAUUUCAAAUGGGGAAAGCAGUCAGGUGCCCAGGAAAGGCUCUUCUUGGGUCCCAUCUCUUACUUACCUUUACACUGCCCCAAAACCCACCCUUUCCUAGAAGUAGCACAGAAGAAACUGGAAAAACACAAAUUGGAUUCUAUUUCCUAAACAAAUGUUUUAGGAUUAAUACUAGGAGAGGUAAUGACUUCAGUACCAACAGCGACCAACAUCUCUUGCAAGGUACAGAGAAAGUCAUGUAUGGUAAUUUUAUUUAUUUAGGGGGAGAAAAAGGUUUUUUGUACUUACUACUGGACUGACACAAUUCAAAGAAUAAACAGGGAAACAGUGCUGUUAAAAUAGUUCCCUGGGAAACUGAAACAAGACAGGGCUGGAGGACAGAAAUUAUUUUUAUUAAAAACAUUCUAAAAGGUUAUUUAUAAAAUGCAUUUCAUCAUCUGCAUUUGGAAACAAUUGAGGAACAUACUGCUGGUGAGGCAGCUUAGCCAUUUCGAAUUUCAACUUGCAACACAAGCUUUAACUGUAUGAACUUCUCAUACACUUAACACCACAGGUAACCGUACUCAAGAUUUCCAGGAGAGCUUGUAGAAAGAGUCCAGCCUUCGAAUACCAAUUUAUUUAAACAAAGGCUUCUGAUAAGCAGUAUAUCUGCAUAUCUAGAAACAUCCAGUUAGUGCAGUGUCCUACUCAUCUUUCAAAUAUGAAAUAUAUUUUAAUAUAUGACACAGUAGUAAGAUCAAAGACAAAACAGAUAAUUUGAUUGCAGAAUUCAGAAAAUAAAUAAGGAUGCAUUGGGAGAUAUCUGAUGUACAGUAGCUUUUUUACUUCAAGCUGCGUAGAAAACUGAAAGAAUAAAUACCCUUUUGUGAUUUUUUAAAUUAUUUUUCUUAAUAAACAACUCAUCCUACCCUUACCCAGAUUAAAACUAGAGACUGUUUUUAAUCUCAUCUAGACUGAAGGAAUAUGCUAAAGUACUUCCUUUAUUUGCAUUGUUUAAACAGUUUAAAGUUACACCCUCACUUCUGCCUAACUUGUCCUAAAACUGCAAAAAGCUUUUAAUAGUUUAGCCCAACUGCAACGUGGUUUUAUUUUAAUCUAUUUUAUUACACUGUGUAAAAUAAGCAGACCUGCAUUAAACAAAUAAAAAACCUGAAGUCCUACAAAAAUUCCACAGUAUUUUGAGAUGAAUUUACAGCAGGGCAGCAGAAAGGCCACAAUGACUCCAAAUACUCUGGAAAAAAAUAUAGUGAAUGUACACAAAUAUAUCUGCAAGGCAACUGCAUAUGAGAACUGUACUGCAUACUGGCACCAACUUCACUAAAAGACUUCUUUCAACUCAGGAGUUUUAGUUCUAUUCACCUUGGUCCCUUACCUCACUCCCUUUUGUUUUAUAAACAUGCAGUAUUUUAUUUUAAUACAUUAUCAGAUUUUACUAGAAUUCCCAUAUAGAUGUAAAGACAGGUGAUUUUCAAAGGCAUAAAGGCAGGGAAAAAAGCAUCCAAAAAGUUCCUUUAGUUUUCAACUCAGUGAAAUUAAAUGUUAUCGGUAUUUUGGGAAUCUUUGUGAAGUUAAACACCACCCAUGGAAUGGCUAAACAAAACUAAAACUCAAGAGGUUUUUAGUAGGAUUACUUCAAAGGUAUGUUUAGACCACAGCUAUGCAAACAGCUGCAUCAGCAGAACUGGGAAGGCAGUGCCAUAGAUCUGGUCUAUGCCAGGAGAAUAAUAGGCCUAUUUUAAUGUGGUCAAAGGUUAAACCAUAGAUCUAAGCCCACACCUGAUGCCUUGGCAUGCUUAUCAAAGUUAUUUUUUGGAGCAUACAAGAAAAUGCUUAAAAUCACCUAUUACUAGAGCUUACCUGAUACUGCGCUGAUGGAUAAAGACAAUCCUGAGUUGAAUGCCUUUACUUGAGAGUUCUAAACAGAUAGAAAAUCCCUUGGCUCAUUAAGUAAUGUUUUAACUUUCAAAAAAAAAAAAUUUAAUUUUAUCAUCCUUUUCUCCUCUUUCAUUUGCUAGAUAGGUGAGUGGCAAAGUAUUUGCUUAAAAUACAGGCUGAAGAAACUUUACCUCUAAUCCUUAGAUACAGGCACUGCUUCUUUCUCAGAUGAACAGCUACCAUCUGUUAUCUAUGCUGAGUUUAGAGUAGGAAUAUGACACAACUUAAAGAUACUAGAUAUUAGCAGAGAUGCUAGCUAAAAUGUAUAAACAAAGCUGGAUGAGUUUUCAUCAACGAGAGGAACUAGAUUUCAUCUAAGCAGUUCAUUUGGUCCCACACUUCUUCCCCUGAAAACAGUAGAGCUGGGGGGGGGGGGGG
This is an RNA transcript of Lagopus muta (rock ptarmigan), 11191 nucleotides long. It is a transcript of the gene named multidrug resistance-associated protein 1-like, with no coding region annotated. The record is from RefSeq and is a predicted model, not a curated record. The transcript is spliced from 29 exons. Lineage: Eukaryota; Metazoa; Chordata; Aves; Galliformes; Phasianidae.